AGGUCACCCAAAAUGGAGAUGGCAUC
RNAcentral lists this non-coding RNA (26 nucleotides) under Homo sapiens (human). Lineage: Eukaryota; Metazoa; Chordata; Mammalia; Primates; Hominidae. The record is from RNAcentral.